UGGCUCAGGAUGAACGCUAGCUACAGGCUUAACACAUGCAAGUCGAGGGGCAGCAUUGGGAUAGCUUGCUAUUCAGAUGGCGACCGGCGCACGGGUGAGUAACGCGUAUCCAACCUUCCUGCCAGUAGGGAACAGCCCGGCGAAAGUCGGAUUAAUGCCUUAUGUUCUUCAAUGCGGACAUCUAAGUUGAAGGAAAGAUUCAUCGCUGGCAGAUGGGGAUGCGUCCGAUUAGCUUGCCGGCGGGGUAACGGCCCACCGGGGCGACGAUCGGUAGGGGUUCUGAGAGGAAGGUCCCCCACACUGGUACUGAGACACGGACCAGACUCCUACGGGAGGCAGCAGUGAGGAAUAUUGGUCAAUGGGCGAGAGCCUGAACCAGCCAAAGUAGCGUGCAGGAUGACGGCCCUAUGGGUUGUAAACUGCUUUUAUACGGGGAUAAAGUGAGGGACGUGUCCCUUUUUGUAGGUACCGUAUGAAUAAGGACCGGCUAAUUCCGUGCCAGCCGCGGC
This 509-nucleotide ribosomal RNA is filed under the name uncultured bacterium. Its description in RNAcentral is "bacterial SSU rRNA". It matches the Rfam family "Bacterial small subunit ribosomal RNA", at positions 20 to 518 of the family's 1533-position model. The record is from RNAcentral.